This 1516-nucleotide ribosomal RNA is filed under the name uncultured bacterium. Its description in RNAcentral is "bacterial SSU rRNA". It matches the Rfam family "Bacterial small subunit ribosomal RNA". The record is from RNAcentral.
AGAGUUUGAUCCUGGCUCAGGAUGAACGCUAGUAGUAUGCUUAACACAUGCAAGUUGAACGAAGUUAUUUUCGUAGCGAACGGGUGAGUAAUAUGCAGAAUGCUGCCUUUUAGUUUAGGAAUAAAAAAAUUUAUAAUAUAAAUUUUUGAAUACUAAAUAUUUGUAAAGGUUAUAUUUGAAAAAAUAUUUCCGCUAAAAGAUGGGUCUGUGUAAGAUUAGGUAGUUGGUAAAUUUAACAGCUUACCAAGCCUUCGAUCUUUAGUUGGUCUUAGAGGAUGAUCAACCACACUGGAACUGAAGUAAGGUCCAGGCUGAUUUUUCGGCCAGCAGUGAGGAAUAUUGGACAAUGAACGAAAGUUUGAUCCAGCAAUACUAUCUGAAUGAAGACGGCUUUUUAGGUUGUAAAGUUCUUUCGUUAGGAAUGAUAAUGACAUUACCUAAAGAAGUAAGUCCCGGCAAAUACUCGUGCCAGCAGCCGCGGUGAUACGGGAGGGGCAAGCGUUAUCCAACAUGACUGGGCGUAAAGGGUCCGUAGACUGUAAAAUAAGUUACUUGUUAAAUUUUAAAGCUCAACUUUAAAAUAGCUUGUAAUACUGUUUUACUUGAGUUUUAUACAGAAGAGUAGAAUUUUAUACGAAGGGGUGAAAUCUGUAGAUAUAUAAAGGAAUAUCAGUAGCGAAGGCGACUCUUUAGUAAAAACUGACGUUGAGGGACGAAAGUGUAGGUAGCAAACAGGAUUAGAUACCCUGGUAGUCUACACUGUAAACUCUGAGUGCUGUAAUUUAAUGUAAAUUUUGAGUCAAAUAUGUUUUAUAUUUGAAGCUAGUAAUUUAUUUGGAUUUUUAAGCUAACGCUAUAAGCACUCCGCCUGAGGAGUACGAUCGCAAGGUUGGAACUCAAAGAAAUUGACGGGGGCUAAUACUAGUGGUGGGGCAUGUGGUUUAAUGCGAUAAUCCGCGCAAAACCUUACCAAUUCUUGACAUAGAAACUUUGUUGUAUUUAUACACUUUUAGUAAAUAAUUUAUAACUACAGUUUUUACAGGUGUUGCACGACUGUCGUAAGCUCGUGUCGUGAGAUGUUUGGUUUAUUCCCUUAACGAGCGAAACUCUUAUCUUUAAUAAUAGUUUACUGAUUUUUAAGAACGUUAUAAGUUUUUAAAAAAGCUUUAUUAGAUACUGCCAGCGAUAAGCUGAAGGAAGGUGAGAAUUAAGUCAAGUCAAUGUGACCCUAAUGAAUUGGGCUACACAUGUGCUACAAUGGAAAUCACAGAAAGUUACAAAAAAUUAUUUUUUCGUUAAUCUAUAAAAAUUUCCGCAGUUCGGAUUGUAAGCUGGAACUCGCUUACAUGAAGCCGGAAUCACUAGUAAUCGCAAAUCAGCACGUUGCGGUGAAUAUGUCAGUUAGCCUUGUACACACCGCCCGUCACAUGCAGAGAGCUAGUUUCGCUUGAAGAUUUAACGCUGUUAAGUCGAUUGAAAAACUAGUAAUUUGGAUGAAGUCGUAACAAGGUAGCCG